This 2699-nucleotide ribosomal RNA is filed under the name Salmonella enterica subsp. enterica serovar Enteritidis. RNAcentral describes it as "partial 23S ribosomal RNA". It matches the Rfam family "Bacterial large subunit ribosomal RNA". The record is from RNAcentral. Lineage: Bacteria; Pseudomonadati; Pseudomonadota; Gammaproteobacteria; Enterobacterales; Enterobacteriaceae.
CCGGUAAGGUGAUAUGAACCGUUAUAACCGGCGAUACCCGAAUGGGGAAACCCAGUGUGACUCGUCACACUAUCAUUAACUGAAUCCAUAGGUUAAUGAGGCGAACCGGGGGAACUGAAACAUCUAAGUACCCCGAGGAAAAGAAAUCAACCGAGAUUCCCCCAGUAGCGGCGAGCGAACGGGGAGGAGCCCAGAGCCUGAAUCAGCAUGUGUGUUAGUGGAAGCGUCUGGAAAGGCGCGCGAUACAGGGUGACAGCCCCGUACACAAAAGCGCAUGUGCUGUGAGCUCGAUGAGUAGGGCGGGACACGUGGUAUCCUGUCUGAAUAUGGGGGGACCAUCCUCCAAGGCUAAAUACUCCUGACUGACCGAUAGUGAACCAGUACCGUGAGGGAAAGGCGAAAAGAACCCCGGCGAGGGGAGUGAAAAAGAACCUGAAACCGUGUACGUACAAGCAGUGGGAGCACCCUUUGGGUGUGACUGCGUACCUUUUGUAUAAUGGGUCAGCGACUUAUAUUCUGUAGCAAGGUUAACCGAAUAGGGGAGCCGGAGGGAAACCGAGUCUUAACCGGGCGUUAAGUUGCAGGGUAUAGACCCGAAACCCGGUGAUCUAGCCAUGGGCAGGUUGAAGGUUGGGUAACACUAACUGGAGGACCGAACCGACUAAUGUUGAAAAAUUAGCGGAUGACCUGUGGCUGGGGGUGAAAGGCCAAUCAAACCGGGAGAUAGCUGGUUCUCCCCGAAAGCUAUUUAGGUAGCGCCUCGUGAAUUCAUCUCCGGGGGUAGAGCACUGUUUCGGCUAGGGGGCCAUCCCGGCUUACCAACCCGAUGCAAACUGCGAAUACCGGAGAAUGUUAUCACGGGAGACACACGGCGGGUGCUAACGUCCGUCGUGAAGAGGGAAACAACCCAGACCGCCAGCUAAGGUCCCAAAGUCAUGGUUAAGUGGGAAACGAUGUGGGAAGGCCCAGACAGCCAGGAUGUUGGCUUAGAAGCAGCCAUCAUUUAAAGAAAGCGUAAUAGCUCACUGGUCGAGUCGGCCUGCGCGGAAGAUGUAACGGGGCUAAACCAUGCACCGAAGCUGCGGCAGCGACACUGUGUGUUGUUGGGUAGGGGAGCGUUCUGUAAGCCUGUGAAGGUGUGUCGUGAGGCAUGCUGGAGGUAUCAGAAGUGCGAAUGCUGACAUAAGUAACGAUAAAGCGGGUGAAAAGCCCGCUCGCCGGAAGACCAAGGGUUCCUGUCCAACGUUAAUCGGGGCAGGGUGAGUCGACCCCUAAGGCGAGGCCGAAAGGCGUAGUCGAUGGGAAACGGGUUAAUAUUCCCGUACUUGGUGUUACUGCGAAGGGGGGACGGAGAAGGCUAUGUUGGCCGGGCGACGGUUGUCCCGGUUUAAGCGUGUAGGUGUGUGUUCCAGGUAAAUCCGGUUCACUUUAACACUGAGGCGUGACGACGAGGCACUACGGUGCUGAAGCAACAAAUGCCCUGCUUCCAGGAAAAGCCUCUAAGCAUCAGGUAACAUCAAAUCGUACCCCAAACCGACACAGGUGGUCAGGUAGAGAAUACCAAGGCGCUUGAGAGAACUCGGGUGAAGGAACUAGGCAAAAUGGUGCCGUAACUUCGGGAGAAGGCACGCUGACACGUAGGUGAAGUGAUUUACUCAUGGAGCUGAAGUCAGUCGAAGAUACCAGCUGGCUGCAACUGUUUAUUAAAAACACAGCACUGUGCAAACACGAAAGUGGACGUAUACGGUGUGACGCCUGCCCGGUGCCGGAAGGUUAAUUGAUGGGGUCAGCGCAAGCGAAGCUCCUGAUCGAAGCCCCGGUAAACGGCGGCCGUAACUAUAACGGUCCUAAGGUAGCGAAAUUCCUUGUCGGGUAAGUUCCGACCUGCACGAAUGGCGUAAUGAUGGCCAGGCUGUCUCCACCCGAGACUCAGUGAAAUUGAACUCGCUGUGAAGAUGCAGUGUACCCGCGGCAAGACGGAAAGACCCCGUGAACCUUUACUAUAGCUUGACACUGAACAUUGAGCCUUGAUGUGUAGGAUAGGUGGGAGGCUUUGAAGUGUGGACGCCAGUCUGCAUGGAGCCGACCUUGAAAUACCACCCUUUAAUGUUUGAUGUUCUAACGUGGACCCGUUACCCGGGUUGCGGACAGUGUCUGGUGGGUAGUUUGACUGGGGCGGUCUCCUCCUAAAGAGUAACGGAGGAGCACGAAGGUUGGCUAAUCCUGGUCGGACAUCAGGAGGUUAGUGCAAUGGCAUAAGCCAGCUUGACUGCGAGCGUGACGGCGCGAGCAGGUGCGAAAGCAGGUCAUAGUGAUCCGGUGGUUCUGAAUGGAAGGGCCAUCGCUCAACGGAUAAAAGGUACUCCGGGGAUAACAGGCUGAUACCGCCCAAGAGUUCAUAUCGACGGCGGUGUUUGGCACCUCGAUGUCGGCUCAUCACAUCCUGGGGCUGAAGUAGGUCCCAAGGGUAUGGCUGUUCGCCAUUUAAAGUGGUACGCGAGCUGGGUUUAGAACGUCGUGAGACAGUUCGGUCCCUAUCUGCCGUGGGCGCUGGAGAACUGAGGGGGGCUGCUCCUAGUACGAGAGGACCGGAGUGGACGCAUCACUGGUGUUCGGGUUGUCAUGCCAAUGGCACUGCCCGGUAGCUAAAUGCGGAAGAGAUAAGUGCUGAAAGCAUCUAAGCACGAAACUUGCCCCGA